AUACGGAGGGUGCAAGCGUUAUCCGGAAUCAUUGGGUUUAAAGGGUCCGUAGGCGGGAAUCUAAGUCAGUGGUGAAAUCUUGCAGCUCAACUGUAAAAUUGCCAUUGAUACUGGAUUUCUUGAAUUAGUGUGAAGUGGUUAGAAUGUGUAGUGUAGCGGUGAAAUGCAUAGAUAUUACACAGAAUACCAAUUGCGAAGGCAGAUCACUAACACUAUAUUGACGCUAAGGGACGAAAGCGUGGGGAGCGAACAGGAUUAGAAACCCCAGUAGUCC
Molecule: ribosomal RNA, 274 nt
Filed under: uncultured bacterium
Lineage: Bacteria
Description: partial 16S ribosomal RNA
Rfam family: Bacterial small subunit ribosomal RNA
Source: RNAcentral